GGUGAGAUGGGUGAGUGGCUUAAACCACAUCCCUGCUAAGGAUGCGUACGGGUAACUGUACCGAGGGUUCGAAUCCCUCUCUCACCGCCA
This 90-nucleotide transfer RNA is filed under the name Acinetobacter sp. Its description in RNAcentral is "tRNA-Ser". It matches the Rfam family "tRNA". Rfam says of the family: Transfer RNA (tRNA) molecules are approximately 80 nucleotides in length. RNAcentral also lists the same sequence under 24 other names. The record is from RNAcentral. Lineage: Bacteria; Pseudomonadati; Pseudomonadota; Gammaproteobacteria; Moraxellales; Moraxellaceae.